RNAcentral lists this small RNA (28 nucleotides) under Bombyx mori (domestic silkworm). RNAcentral describes it as "ovarian small RNA-17561". The record is from RNAcentral. Lineage: Eukaryota; Metazoa; Arthropoda; Insecta; Lepidoptera; Bombycidae.
GGUCAUGGGCGGUAUGGACCGCAUGGUA